Molecule: long non-coding RNA, 455 nt
Organism: Hyla sarda
Lineage: Eukaryota; Metazoa; Chordata; Amphibia; Anura; Hylidae
Exons: 3
Source: RefSeq, a predicted model, not a curated record
CCUCUCCCUUUGGUUUGGACCUGGCUAUAACUGCCACCAACUAGCAGUUGGAGAAGACCUGUGGAUGAUCGGCUUGGAUACUGAGGGUAUCCACCAUAUAGAAGAUUGGAUUAGAUACAAUUAAAAAGGUUUUCAUAAUGUCAGCUUUUCUAGUUGAUGUUGCCGGACUACGGGUCUCCAGGAUUGUGACGCUAAACUGGCAUCGCUAUAGAGGUCGUCAGCUCCGAGUUCUGUUAGUUAGACUGAGGGGCAAUAUGCGGGCCCGGGCCCAUCCCUACAGACGACCGGCCAUCUAAACGGUUCUUUAUUGCUGGACUGGAAUCCAUCUUAGGCAAUUGUGAUAUUAUGUAUUCAGUCAAUGUAAAGAAGAAGCUAUAGAAGCUUAGACAACAACUCUCAUCAUCUUGUUAGUAGUUCCUCCAGUCCACUGAUAAUAAAGAAUGAUUCUGAUCACA